Molecule: ribosomal RNA, 208 nt
Filed under: uncultured bacterium
Lineage: Bacteria
Description: partial 16S ribosomal RNA
Rfam family: Bacterial small subunit ribosomal RNA
Source: RNAcentral
CGUGGGACAUCUACCCAGAGGUGAGGAAUACCGGCGAGAAAUCGCCGACAAUACCGCAUACGCUCUCCCAAGAGAGCAAAGCUCGCAAGAGCGCCCCUGGAUGAUCCUGCGGUCGAUUAGCUAGUUGGUGAGGUCAAAGCCCACCAAGGCGACGAUCGAUAGCUGGUCUGAAGGACGAUCAGCCACACUGGGAUUGAGAACGGCCCAG